Molecule: long non-coding RNA, 5938 nt
Filed under: Fragaria vesca (wild strawberry)
Lineage: Eukaryota; Viridiplantae; Streptophyta; Magnoliopsida; Rosales; Rosaceae
Description: long non-coding RNA (FVES_LNC001482)
Source: RNAcentral
GAAAGCAUGCAGUAAAGAGAUCUUACAUCUUUGAAAUCUUGUCUGUCGAAAACGCAUGCUUUAACAUGUCAGCAGCCACAUAUAUGGGCAAAUGUAUUUUGUUACCAAACCUGUGUAUUGCAUCUGUCAAGCUCAUACCACCUGCGCUGUGUCCAACAAGUAUUAUAUUACCUACAAUCCUACAUACGUACGUACUUAGAUUUAUAUAACAAACAAUGUAAAAGUUAACACCAACACGAGUUAAGCUUCUAUCUAUGAGAUCGAUCCAGAGGCAUAGUACUCGUAUACCUUUUCAUUCUGGAGCAAGGUGGACAGGAACUGAAUGAGAGGCUUGUUAUAGAUAGUCUUCGAAAGUGAGGUUGUGUUGGGAUCAGACUCAUGAUCAAUACCAGCACCUUUGAGAUCCAUGCAUGUCACUUUGUGGCCUGAUGCUUCCUGGAAUCCCGGAGACACUCGAGUUUGUACCAGCACCAAGCUCCAUGCCCUACGCAAUGGACUAGAACCAAGUGAUGAUGAUGAGGAUUUGCUACUUCAGUUUCUGGGUUUAUUGCUGCUCUUAACUCUUUAAGUUUAGACUUUUGGUCCUACGCGCGUGCAGCUCUUAAUCCCAGGGGCGGAGUCAGGGCUCAAAUUUUUGAGCUGGUUAAGAAGUGUUAAACAGUAAUGCGCACUGGUCUCUCUAGACUAUAUUUAAGAUUAUCUAGUUUAAUCUAGAACUUAUCUUUAGUGAUCAUGUAUGAUUGUAGAAAAAUCUAGAUUAAAUAUAAUCUAGUAUUGUCUAGAGUGAAGUCAUGUCAGUGGAGGUAAACCAAUGUCGGUUUAAAACUCUAUAAAUAAGUAUUAAAGUCUUGUAUCAUGAUGUAAUCAAUCAACCAAGCUAUCAAUACAAACUCUGUUUUUCUACAACAACUAAAUCUCCUCUGUUGCACACCUCCUCUAAUUCAAAUCUUCCAUUUCCUAAACACUCUUUGGCCUAAACACUAACUACCUUACCUUCUAAAAACCAUCAGUGGUAUCAGAGCAGUUCUGAUCUAUUCGGGGCGUGUCCACCAUGUCAUCAUCUACCUCCAAUAACUCCCUACCUCUUCCAAUCUUCUCCGGUGAGAACUACGACUUUUGGAGCAUUAAAAUGAAGACUUACUUCAUGUCUCAAGAUCUAUGGGACAUAGUCGACAGAGGAAUCACAACUACAGAGAAUCCUUCGGUCGAGCAACUACGUCAAGAGAGGAAGGAGAAGCAAAGAGAUGCUAAUGCUCUUUAUGCCAUCCAACAAGCAGUGGAUGAUGCGAACUUCUCAAGGAUCAUGGGAGCUUCUACAGCGAAGGAGGCUUGGGACUUGUUGAAAGAGGAAUUUCAAGGGACAACUAAGGUGCGCUCUAUCAAAUUUCAAACUACGAGGAGAGAGUUGUAAAACUUGAAGAUGAAAGAUUCUGAGAUCAUUAAAGAUUAUUACUAUCGUCUUAAGGGAGUAGUGAACCAGUUAAGAGCCUAUGGAGAAAACAUAUCUGAAACUAGAGUUGUUGAAAAAAUACUAAUCAGUCUAACUGAGAAGUAUGAUCCGGUAGUUACUGCUAUAGAAAACUCUAGUGACAUAUCUCAACUUUCGGUGACUGAACUCAUAGGCUCAUUAGAAGCUUUCGAAAAAAGAUUGAGUAGUCGGGAUGAUACUCCACUAGAGAGUGCAUUUCAGUCUAAACUCAAUCUACAAUCUCAGAAUUAUAAAAGAGAAGAAAAGAAGAUAAAUGAUUAUCCUAGAGGAGGAGGAGAAAAAUCUAAAAAUUGGGAAAAUAAAAGAGACUUUAAGCAAAGAAGAACUUAUCCUCCAUGUGGGACAUGUAAGAAUACCAAUCACAAAGAAGCAGAUUGCUGGUUUCGCGGUAAGCCAAAAUGCCGAAAUUGUAAUAGAUUCGGCCAUGUUGAAAAGAAUUGUCGGCUCAAGAAGAAGUACCAAGCCAAUUUUUCAAAGGAGAAUGAAGAAGAUGAGCACCUAUUCUAUUCAUGUGAAGCUGCAUCUGAGGAGAAAAACCAGACAUGGUAUGUUGACAGUGGUUGUAGCAAUCACAUGUCAGGAGAUGAAUCUAUCUUCUCCAACCUUGAUACAUCAAGGAAGUCACGAGUGAAAAUGGGGAAUGGCGCUUUAGUGCAUACGAAAGGCAAAGGUACUAUCUCCAUCCAAACUAAUUUAGGAACUAAGUGUAUUGAUGAUGUUUUAUUAGUUCCUAGUUUAGAGCAUAAUCUGUUAAGUGUUGGUCAAAUGAUGGAGAAUGGUUAUGCUCUAUUAUUCUUUGGAGGCUCUUGUAAAAUAUAUGAUAAAAAAAGAAGGAUGAUAUUUAAUGUAAAGAUGGAAAAUAGAAGUUUUCCUAUCCAAUGGUUACAAAGGGCCAUGAAGGCAGUUGUAGAUGAUUCAUGGCUGUGGCAUAAACGCUUUGGCCACUUAAUUUCCAUGCUUUGAGAACUCUUUCUCAAAGAAAAAUGAUGAAGGACCUGCCAAGCAUAGAGGUGAUUGAAGAUGUCUGUAGAGCCUGCCAACUCGGGAAGCAGCAGAGACAAGCAUUUCCUUCUAGAAGAGCUUGGAGAGCAAAAGACUACUUGGAGCUUGUGCAUACGGACGUCUGUUAACCUAUGAGGACUCCAUCUCUUGAUCAAAGCAGGUACUUCAUUCUUUUCAUUGAUGAUUAUACUAGGAUGACAUGGGUCUACUUUCUACGUGAAAGGUUUGAAGUUUUCAAGAUCUUUCAAAAGUUCAAGAACCAUGUUGAGAAACAAAGUGGCCAUUACAUCAAAGCUCUUAGAAGUGACAGAGGUAAAGAAUAUACCUCUAAACAAUUCAACAAAUUUUGUGAAGAUGAAGGAGUAGAGCACCAACUAACAGUGGGCUAUGCUCCUGAACAAAAUGGAGUCUCUGAGAGAAAAAAUAGAACCGUGAUGGAGAUGGCAAGGUCAAUAAUAUGUGAAAAACACUUGCCAAAGACUUUUUGGGCAGAAGCUGUAUAUACAGCAGUCUACUUGCUAAAUAGAUGUCCAACAAAAGCUCUACAAGACAAGACACCAAUUGAAGCUUGGAGCAACAAGAAGCCAUCAGCAAAGCAUCUCAAGGUCUUUGGGAGCAUUUGCUAUGUUCAUAUUUCAGCUGUUAAAAGGCACAAGUUGGAAGAAAAAUCAGAAGUUGGUAUAUUUGUCGGCUACAGCUCGCAAGCUAAAGGCUACCGAGUAUACAAUCCAAAAACGGAGAAGCUCAUGAUCAGCAGGGAUGUUAAGUUCGAUGAAGCUGCCUAUUGGGAUUGGGAAAAAGAAGAAGUUAUGAAGAACAAAUUUGUCCCAACAGAAAAGCAACAGAUUACAUCUCCUUUGCAUUCAAGGGAAGAAGAAUUUGAAGAAGAAACUUCAGAAUUUCCAGGUACGCCCUCUAUUGCUCUUCCAUCUAAUCAAGAAGAAUAUGAUGUUCCAGAAUCUCCACCUAGAAGAGUAAAGUCAUUGAGGGAUAUAUACGAAACAUGCAAUUUUGUAUCUUUAGAACCUGAAAGUUUUGAAGCUGCAGUAAAACAAGAAAAUUGGAGAAAAGCCAUGGAAGAAGAAAUUAAAACAACUGAAAAAAAAAUCAAACAUGGGAACUUGUAGAGCGCCCACCAAACAAAGAGAUAAUUGGUGUUAAAUGGGUCUAUAAGACCAAAGUCAAUCCCGAUGGCUCAAUACAAAAAUACAAAGCAAGAUUAGUAGCAAAAGGCUACUCACAACAGCCAGGGUUAGACUACAACGAGACCUUUGCACCUGUUGCAAGGCUCGACACAAUAAGGGCUCUUGUAGCUCUUGCAGCUCAAAAGAGAUGGAAAAUCUAUCAACUUGAUGUUAAGUCGGCUUUCCUAAAUGGUGAACUCGAAGAAGAAAUCUAUGUGGAGCAACCGCAAGGAUUCAUAAAGAAAGGAGGAGAAGAUAAAGUGUUCCGGUUGAAGAAAGCUCUAUAUGGGCUUAAGCAGGCAUCACGAGCGUGGAACAGUCGCAUCAAUAAAUACUUCAUCAAUGCUGGAUUCAGGAGGAGCAAGAGUGAGCCAACUCUCUACACCAAAACUCAAGGUAACUCUAUCCUCAUCGUCUCUUUAUAUGUGGAUGAUCUCAUUUAUACCGGUGAUAAUGAUGAAAUAAUUCAAGAGUUCAAACAAGACAUGAUGAGGACAUUUGAGAUGAGUGAUCUCGGCCUAAUGCACUAUUUUCUUGGUAUUGAGAUAAACCAAGAAGCAAAUGGGAUUUUCAUAUGUCAAAAGAUGUAUACUGAAAAUCUCUUGAAGAAAUUCAAAAUGAAUGGGUGCAAGGCUGUGGCAACUCCACUCAUCACUAAUGAGAAAUUUAAAAAGGAGGAUGGCUCUCUGAAGGCAAAUGUAUCUAGCUAUAGAAAUCUCAUUGGAAGCUUACUUUAUUUGACUACAACUCAACCCGAUAUUAUGUAUGCAACAAGUCUUCUAUCAAGGUUCAUGCAUAGUCCAAGUCAGAUACAUUAUGGUGCCGCAAAGAGGAUCUUGAGAUAUCUACAAGGUACCAUUAAUUAUGGUAUCUGGUACCGGCCUACUUCAAAGACAAAGCUUGUUGGCUUUGAAUCAGAAUUGUUUGGCUACACGGACAGUGACUGGGCUGGAUCAAUGGAUGAUAUGAGAAGUACUUCAGGGUAUGCAUUCACUAUCGGGUCUGGCAUAUUCUCUUGGUCUUCAAAGAAACAAGACACAAUUGCCUUGUCAUCAGCUGAAGCGGACUACGUUGCAGCAGCAAGCUCGACAUGUCAAGCAAUAUGGCUAAGAAGAAUCUUUGAAGACAUGGGAGAGAAACAAGAAAAUGCCACAAGAAUCUUCAGCGACAACAAAUCUGCAAUUGCAAUGGUGAAGAAUCCAGUGUGUCAUAACAAAACGAAACAUAUCAAGAUCAAGCAUCACUUCUUGAGAGAAGCUUCAACAAACAAAGAAAUUGAGCUCCACUACUGCAAGAAAGAAUUACAGCUAGCUGACAUCUUCACUAAGGCACUCGCAAGAACAAGAUUUGAAACGCUGCGAAGCAUGCUUGGUGUAGCACCAAUGCACAUUAAGGAGGAGUGUUAAACAGUAAUGCGCACUGGUCUCUCUUGACUAUAUUUAAGAUUAUCUAGUUUAAUCUAGAACUUAUCUCUAGUGAUCAUGUAUGGUUGUAGAAAAAUCUAGAUUAAAUAUAAUCUAAUAUUGUCUAGAGUGAAGUCAUGUCAGUGGAGGUAAACCAAUGUCGGUUUACAACUCUAUAAAUAAGUAUUAAAACCUUGUAUCAUGAUGUAAUCAAUCAACCAAGCUAUCAAUACAAACUCUGUUUUUCUACAACAACUAAAUCUCCUCUGUUGCACACCUCCUCUAAUUCAAAUCUUCCAUUUCCUAAACACUCUUUGGCCUAAACACUAACUACCUUACCUUCUAAAAACCAUCAAGAAGCUUAAGCUAAGAAGACCUUUGGGUUGUAAAAAUGGCAGAAAUGGGAGAAAAAGAAGAACAGCGUAGAAGAAGAAGAAGAAGAAGAAGAAGACUUGCUUGAUUCUUUUUUCUGAAAAAAUAGCUCUUUCCAGAAGAUGCCAUUUAGGACUUGGGAGUGUAGCUAGCUAGAGAUCCAAUGCAAUGGCAGUGUUAAAACACAGACGCGCGUGUGCAUCACGCGCAUGUUAUUUUAAUCAUUUUGACCGUGGCUGGUAUUGAUUUGAAGUCUUCAGUCGUUGACUUGAGCCAAGGUACAGAUCGUGAAACAAACUCACGUACCCAACAAAGCAGAGAAUUAACUAGAAAAUUGAUCGAGUAUUAUCGAUUAUUCGGAAGACUCGAUUUUCAGGUAAAACCAUAUAUUGUUUCAGAAAUGGCUAUCACGAACAUUAGUUUGAACCCCGUUGCCAUAUAUUGUUUCUUGCCUUCUAUCAAUGUUUCCGGUAUAUAUAUAUAUAUNN